RNAcentral lists this long non-coding RNA (585 nucleotides) under Physcomitrium patens. RNAcentral describes it as "long non-coding RNA (PPAT_LNC010891)". The record is from RNAcentral. Lineage: Eukaryota; Viridiplantae; Streptophyta; Bryopsida; Funariales; Funariaceae.
UUGAUUUAGGGUUUAGGAUUUGAUUUAGGAUUUUUUUAGGGUUUGGUUUAGGAUUUAGGAUUUGGUUUAGGAUUUUUUUAGGGUUUGGUUUAGGAUUUAGGAUUUGGUUUAGGAUUUUAGGUUUUGGUUUAGAAUUUAAGAUUUAUUUAGGUUUUGAUUUAGGAUUUAUUUAGAGAUUGGUUAGUGUUUGAUUUAGGGUUGGAUUAGGAUUUACUUUAAGAUUUAGAAUUUGGUUAGGAUUUGAUUUAGGAUUUAGGGUUUAGGAUUUGAUUAGGAUUUUAUUUAAGAUUUAAUAUUUAAUUAGGGUUUGAUUUAGGAUUUAGGAUUUAGAAUUUAGGAUUUGAUUAGGAUUUGAUUUAGGAUUUAAGGUUUAGUUAGGGUUUGAUUUAGGAUUUAGAGUUUGAUUUACGAUUUAGGAUUUGAUUUAGGAUUUAGGAUUUUAUUAGGAUUUAUUUAGGAUUUAAGAUUUAAUUAGUGUUGGCCUAAAGUUUGAAUAAAGUCCAAUGGAAUUUUAAUUAAGAUUAAAUUUAGAUUGAAUUGUGAUGUAUUUGACAUAUAUUUGUGAUCAUUCUAAUAUUUUUUUAA